Molecule: ribosomal RNA, 460 nt
Filed under: uncultured bacterium
Lineage: Bacteria
Description: partial 16S ribosomal RNA
Rfam family: Bacterial small subunit ribosomal RNA
Source: RNAcentral
GCUACGGGCGGCAGCAGUGAGGAAUAUUGGUCAAUGGACGAGAGUCUGAACCAGCCAAGUAGCGUGAAGGAUGACUGCCCUAUGGGUUGUAAACUUCUUUUAUAUGGGAAUAAAACGUUGCACGUGUGGCCUUUUGUAUGUACUAUAUGAAUAAGGAUCGGCUAACUCCGUGCCAGCAGCCGCGGUAAUACGGAGGAUCCGAGCGUUAUCCGGAUUGAUUGGGUUUAAAGGUAGCGUAGAUGGGUUGUUAAGUCAGUUGUGAAAGUUUGCGGCUCAACCGUAAAAUUGCAAUUGAAACUGGCAGUCUUGAGUACAGUAGAGGUAGGAGGAAUUCGUGGUGUAGCGGUGAAAUGCUUAGAUAUCACGAAGAACCCCGAUUGCGAAGGCAGCUGACUAAACUGUAACUGACACUGAUGCUCGAAAGUGUGGGUAUCAAACAGGAUUAGAUACCCUGGUAGUC